GACGAACGCUGGCGGCAGGCCUAACACAUGCAAGUCGAGCGGUAAGGCCCUUUCGGGGGUACACGAGCGGCGAACGGGUGAGUAACACGUGGGUGACCUGCCCUCAGCUCUGGGAUAAGCCUGGGAAACCGGGUCUAAUACUGGAUAUGACUCCAUGACGCAUGUUGUGGGGUGGAAAGCCUUGUGCGGCUGAGGAUGGGCCCGCGGCCUAUCAGCUUGUUGGUGGGGUGAUGGCCUACCAAGGCGA
Molecule: ribosomal RNA, 247 nt
Filed under: uncultured Actinomycetes bacterium
Lineage: Bacteria; Bacillati; Actinomycetota; Actinomycetes
Description: uncultured actinobacterium partial 16S ribosomal RNA
Rfam family: Bacterial small subunit ribosomal RNA
Source: RNAcentral